This 254-nucleotide long non-coding RNA is filed under the name Prunus persica (peach). RNAcentral's name for it is "long non-coding RNA (PPER_LNC001352)". The record is from RNAcentral. Lineage: Eukaryota; Viridiplantae; Streptophyta; Magnoliopsida; Rosales; Rosaceae.
CGUUGAAAUCGAACAUCACGACGAUGGGGCCGCUGGUGCUUCCGGCGUCGGAGCAGUUGCUCUUCCUUCUGACGCUGAUCGGCAGGAAAAUCGUGAACCCGAAAUGGAAGCCGUACAUUCCGGAUUUCAAGCAGGCGUUCGAGCACUUCUGCAUCCACGCGGGAGGGAGGGCGGUGAUCGACGAGCUGCAGAAGAACCUGCAGCUGUCGGCGGAGCACUGCGAGGCGUCGAGGAUGACGCUGCAUAGGUUCGGC